GACGCCUUCUUUCUGCCAGCUGGAGGCGGAAGUCCAGGGAGGGGCUCCCUGCUGGUUGGUGAGGAUUGAAGUUCUACCUCCUUACCUGGACCCCUCUGACACCAAGCCAGCAGGACUGUUGGGGCACCACCUUGUUACAGCUUCAUAAAGUUCCUUCGGUUGUUACAGUCCGAGACUAAGAUGCAGUUCUGAAUAGUCCACAGAAGACCACGGAGGAGAAAAGAUUCUGGUCCCCGAAAAGAAAAGGAGAUACCUCCCAUCCACCAGCCAUGUGGCUCCAUCCUGGCUUGCAGCUAGUAGUCCCAGGGCACAGCGGCUUCGGUACCUGCUUCUAAACCGGGUUUGAAUCCCAAUCCCUCCACUUACUGGGUCCUGUCUCCAAAGAAGGUGUGGAUCCAAGCUCAGCCUGUCUGAUUGUGUUGACAAACAAAAGAUGCAUCAAGACCCAGAAGGACAGGGAGCGAGGCCAUUUUCAGGGGACAGCAGGGAGAAGUCUUGCUAAUUCCUCCCGCACUACCAAGAAACCCUUCCUAGAAGUCGGCGCUUUGCCCCGGAUUACAAGGUGCAAACAUAGCUGCCCUUCCUCACUCUCCUCCCCGUCGCCUGCCGAACCACCACAUGAAUCCUGCUCUCCUUGAAGGCAGCAGGUCAUCUUGGCAAUCAGAAAUCCCGCCAGCUGGACUCGGUUCAAGUUCAGUUGCGUCCCCCUGACUGGCCAGAACCCAUCCAUCUCUGUUGAAAUACUCGGCCGAUAAUAGCCAAGGGGAUGAGACCAGCGCAGGAAAACGGAUUGCUAACAGAUUGGCUUGCUUGGCCUCCAACUCGGGAUAAUAUAUGAGCAGCGAGGUAAAAUGAAUGGAGCCUUGGCUAAGUCCUUUCGUACCUCCUUAGGGGCCUUGUCGCUUCUA
This is a long non-coding RNA of Zalophus californianus (California sea lion), 908 nucleotides long. RefSeq lists it as uncharacterized. The transcript has 3 exons. The record is from RefSeq and is a predicted model, not a curated record. NCBI's taxonomy places the organism in Eukaryota, Metazoa, Chordata, Mammalia, Carnivora, Otariidae.